CUUGUAGCAACCCUGGGUCAGGCUUGUUUGACAUCCAGAUAAAAAUACGUUUCCGUGAGCAAGCACUCUAACACAACUCUUAUCUGGGACCGGUGAGUGCAGUCGGUAAGGAGGAUAUGUAGUAUUGGGGGUAGCCGGCGUGGGGUAAUGGUUGCGUGUUCUCUGGUGUGGCACAGGUGGAGGUGUGUGGACUUCUCUACUGUCUCCCGGUAAAAAUACAACGUUACAGGCCCGGGUGGUGACUGGCCAGGAUGCGAAGGAUGCAGGUCAUUCAGCAGAAGCUUGAGCAGGACCUAAAAACUAGACGAGGCUGGCGCAUUGUCAGGGACUAAGAGGAGCUGACUGAAUCCAAACAGCUGGUCCACAUCACCAACUGCAAAGCAACAGAGGCUCCUCAUCAUGGCCUUGGGACGCCAAGUUUUCUUGAAAUCCUCCUCUGAGCUGAAAGUAUUUCCAAGGCAAUAAUCACACACAUUAAAGUCACUGAAGCCAUGUAGAUCUCGUAUUUCUGUUAUAGUCUUAUGUGCAUGGUUUACUAUUCAUGAAUCUAGACCUUGGGCAAAAUAAACAAAUAGAAAGAAAAAGAAAAGCAGAAACCUUUAGCUCCCCCUUUUGGCUGUUUGGGACAGUUAUAACGGACAGGUUGACGGCAGCAGAGAGAUUCCAUUUCAACCCCUCACUUUCUAUGUAUGUCCAUCUAUUCAGCUCCUUAUUCUCUUUCACUCUUUCAGUUUCCCCUCUUCUUCAGCAUCAUUCAUAUAAUCCUAUUUUCAUCUUUUUUGUCAGUCUCUCUUUUCAUCUCUUCUCAACCUCUGACUCUUGCUACCACUUUCUCUUCCCUGGCAGUUGGGUCGGAUCACGUUCCCACCACAAACAAACCACUCCAGGGCUCAUUUGGGACCGGACUGAGACCACCUCCUCUCAACGGUCUCGGUGCGAAAACUGUGUUCAUACCGACCCAAACAAAUCAAGGGGGGAAACAAACCAGAGUCUGAUUUAACCGGACUGAAAAGCACAGGUGUGAAAACACCCUUAAACCAUGCAAC
Clupea harengus (Atlantic herring) is the source of this 1046-nucleotide long non-coding RNA. The record is from Ensembl. NCBI's taxonomy places the organism in Eukaryota, Metazoa, Chordata, Actinopteri, Clupeiformes, Clupeidae.